RNAcentral lists this long non-coding RNA (5480 nucleotides) under Heterocephalus glaber (naked mole-rat). Lineage: Eukaryota; Metazoa; Chordata; Mammalia; Rodentia; Bathyergidae. The record is from RNAcentral.
CCCUUUUGAGAAGUUCUGCUAUUCCUCAUUUAUAGAUGAGAAGCCAAAGACCCAUAGGAGUUCAAUCCCUUGCACAGAGGUUCCUGACUUGUGAAUGACAGAACCAGGAUUCUGGCCCAGGCGAUGGGGCUUUGUGCGUGUGUGUGUGUGUGUGUAUGACAGAGACUCAGAGAGGCCCUGAGUCGCCACAAUCACACAGCCAGGCUAUGGGAGAAGGGGCCCGGAAGUUUUGUUGCCUGUCAUCCCCUCAUCUGUUGGACCCCUUAGCCGCUCCUGGUGCACAGAUAAAAAGUAGGGCUGGGAUUGCUGGGAAAGUACCUCACCUGGGACAAGGACAACAAAACUAAAUAAUAAAUGCCCUAGUACCCUGGCAGGACUCUCCCCAGAGCACGGGUAGGGGCAAUUGAACCUUUCUCAGUAUCAUGUGGGGAACAGCCACUGCUGGCUGCUUAUUUACUUAUUCACACCCUGCGAUGAUAUCGCCUGGGAGCCUGCAGGGCUGACAACCAGUGCUGCAGGUGCAGAGGAUGAGCGACAGCCUUCCAACGCAGGGGCCUGAAGCGACAGGAACUGGUAAACGCCAGGCUUGUGCAUCAUUGGACUUUUGCCUUGAAAUAAGAUUGAUGAUGAAAGAAAGGAAUGUGGGUGAGAGUUCAGAACCCAGGGAAAGUGAGGCCUGACUUUCCCCAGUGCUGGGCUGGUUCCCCACCCCUGCCCCUGCCUCCAGGUAAGACCCCGCCUCACCUGCCUCCCAGAGUGGGAGCCAGACUCUCUAGGCAGCUAAGGCCCAAGCCCACUCUGAGGUUGAUGCCUGGCCUGGGGCAAAUUAUUUUCUGGGAGUCUCAGAUUUGUCAGCAGUAAAAUGGGGGCAUUGUUUGCAGGAUUGUGCAUGGAGACCAAGCUGUGACAGACCGUGUGCUGGUGACUUGUGUGCUGUGGGCUUGUGCAACACUCAUUGCUGAGUGUCGUGGGACGGUUUAUGUGCAUUCUCUGUACUUAAGCUUCACAGUGAACCAUUCAGAGCAGCACCUCCUCCCAGGCUGCCUGGGUUCAAAUCCAGAGUCAGGAUCCAGUGAUAGCCCCUCACCCCUUAAGACAAGGUCACUAAGUUCCCCAGCCUGCCCAAGUUGGCUUCAAACUCACAAUCCUCCUGUCUCAGCCAUCUGAGUAGCUGGGAUUGGUAAUACAGGUCUUUCCACCAGGCCUGGCUUGACUUGAUGGGUUUUAAUUAAUUAAUUUUAUUAUUAUUUUUUGUUGUUUUGUUUGUUUUUGGUACUAGGGAUCGAACUCGGGACCUUGUGCUUUCGAGGCAGGUGGUGGAACUACUGAGCUAAAUCCCUGACCUAUUAUUAUUAUUUUAGGCAGGGUCUCACUAAGUUGGUAAUUUGCCUAGGGUGGGCUCAAACUUGCAAUGUUCCUGCCUCCCAGAGUCCUGGGAUCACCUGUGUCCACCACUAUGCCAGCUUGGUUUUUAUUUUUAUUUAAUUUAUUAUUGUUGUUGUUGUUGUUAUUUUCUUUUGCUUUGGUACUGGGGGUUGAACCUUGGGCCUCAGAAAUGCUAAGCAAAUGCUCUACCACUAAGCUACAUCUUCAGCCCUGAGCUUCCUUUCUUUCCUUCCUUCCUUUUUUUUAUUUGGGGGGGGACUACAGGCCUGGGGCACCAGGUCCACCUAUAUGUUUAUAUGUGGAUAUUGGAAUUUGAAGUCCAUACACUCCCACCCUGGGAAUUGCCAUCUUCAACUAUUAUCCUAUGAUACUUUUUUUUUUCUUUUUUUUUGAGACAGGGUCUCGCUAUAUAGCCUAGGCUGGCCUCAAAUUCCUUAAACUCAUGGCAAUCCUGCCUCAGCCUCCUGAGUGCUGGGAUUACGGGCGUGCGCCACUACAUCCGGCUUUAUAUUGCUUUUUUUUUUUUUUUUUUUGCACCAGGGAUCGAACUCAGGACCUUGCGCUUGAGAGGCAGGCGCAGUGCCACUGAGCUAAAUCCCCAGCCCCUUAUAUUUUCUUUUUUUGGUACUGGGGAUCGAAUUCAGGUCCUUGCGCUUGCACAGCAGGCAGCAAAACCACUGAGCUAAAUCCCCAGCUUAUAUUUUCUUUUAAAGCAAUAACUACUUAAACCAUUCAUGUUUUUCCUAUUUGCCAUCUUUUACCUUCUUUCAGCUCCAUCCUUGAAAUCAAGCCAUCAAUGAAUUCUAAUUGGUCAGUUCUCUGAUAGUUGGUAAAAUGCCCCACCCUUUCUCCACCAGAAACAAGUGGUAGGGCACUUGUAUCAAGAAGUUGGCCAAUGAGAGGAUGGCAUAGCCCAGCCGGUCCACCAAUAGGCUGGUGACAUUCUUGCCUCUCCAAAGGCCUCAGCCAGGAGCAGCCUCAUGCCCUUGCAGUUUUGACACCUUCCCUGUAUUCCUGGAGAUUCCUUUCAAAGCCACUAGAGGGACACAGGAUGGACAGAUGGCCCGACUCCCUCCAGCCUGCCUGGGCCUUCCCCAGCCCUCUCCUCCCUGGAGUGGCUGGGAAAGGAGGCUUUCCAAGGCAAAGAUAAUAUACAUGUAAAAAAUGUGGUUUCAAGCUUUUUCUUUUACUUAUUUUUUUCAUUUUAUGAGACAAUAAUUUUGGCUUUCUUUUUGAAAAAACAUGUUAUUUUAAAGUUUGAACACCUCCUCCUUUGUCUUCCUGAGCUCUGGACGCUGACCUCCCACCCUGUCCCUGAGUGGGGCCUGCAGCACCAUGCCAGCCUGCAGAUGGAGAGGCAGGAGGCAGUCUUGGUGGCAUCCAAGUAAGAAGACAAGGGUGAGGCUGAUGGAGCUGAAGUUGUCAUCUUUAACUAUUAAUUCUGGUUCCAGGAAGAGCUAGUGAUGGAAGCCAAUGGAAGUGUGGGGUGGAUAGGGCUGGAGUUAAGAGUCAAGAGACACCUAGCAGGGCAUGGUGGUACAGGCCUGUAAUCACAGCAACUCAUGAGGCUGAGGCAGGAGGAUCGAAAGUUUGAGGCCAGCCUGGGCAACUUAACAAGACCUUGUCUCCAAAUAAAAAAUAAAGAGGAUAGGGGAUGUGGCUCAGUGGUAGAGCAUACCACAUUUUAUUCCCCGUGCUUGAGAAGAACUGUGGAGUUUUGGGUUACCCCUGAGCUUCUGCCCUCGUUUGGAAGGGACUGAAUGGCAGCCCUUGCUUUCCUUCCUUCCUGAAGGUGUGAGGAGGGGAUGGGAAUUAAUGCCUCUAAAGAAAGGACUUGAGUCCUGCAGCAGCACAAGGGCUGCAGGCUGUGGGAGCCCUAUCACGAGUGGGGUCACAGCCACUUAGCAGGGUGGCAGCUGCUCAGCUCCAACGAGACUCAGAGUCAGAAUGUGAGCCCUACACUGCUUCUGACUCUUGUUUUCACUGUUUUGUGUUCUCAGUUCUGAGCAUCAACCUAGGGCCUUGUGCAUGUGAGGCAGGCACUCGACCACUAACCGGCACCCUAGCUCUACUUUGCAUUCUUUUUUAAAAAAGAAGCUGGGGGCCAGGGAUUUAGCCCAGUGGUUCCCUCACCUGCCUCACAAGUGCAAGGACCCGAGUUCAAUCCCUGGUACCAAAAAAAAAAAAGAAGAAGCUGAGCUUUUAUGUGAAACCUACCAAUUGUUGUAGAUUAAACAGUAACUCGGAAUUUAAUAAAAUACUAUGCUAGCCAGGUGUGGUGGCCUGCACCCUUCCAAAUACAAAUACCCUUCCAAUCUUUGUAUUUGAAAGGCUGAGGCAGGGGGAUCUUGAGUUCAACAUGUAGCCUGGGGUACAUCAUUCAAGGGCAGCCUGAAUUACAUAGAGAAAACCUCUCUCAAAAAGCCAAAAACAGUGCACUUCAGCAGCAAGUAUACUAAAAUUGGAACAACACAGAGAAGGUUUGCAUGGCCCCUGAGAAAGGGUGAUACAUGAGUUUGUGAAGCAUUCCAUAUUUUAAAAACAAAACAUACAAGCUGGGGAUAUAGCUCAGGGGUAGACCGCUGGCCUAGCAUGUGCAAGGCCUUGGGCUCAAUCCCAGUUCCAUUAAAAAAGAAAGAAAGAAAAGAAAGAGAAAAGGUAAACACUGAGCUCUGCUGGCAGCAUGGUAUGGCCAAAGAACCCUGUCCGUGAGCAGGCCGGGCUUUGACUUUGGGUUUAUGACCUGCUUGACAAAGCUGAAUGUAAGGGCUGGGGAUUUGGCUCAGUGGUUCUGCUGCCUGCCCCACAAGUGCAAGGUCCCGAGUUCAAUCCCUGGUACAAAAAAAAAAGUCCAAAACCAAAGCUGAAUGUAAACAUCAGCUCUGUGAAACCCCAGGCAGAUGAGGGAGCACAGAAGGCAGAACUCUAGGGUGUCUAAGUGAAUUCCUCCACACAAAGCCCUGUCUUUAUCCCCUCAUUUUCAUUAUCCAAGGCAAAACCACAGCUCCUGGACCAGGUCUGUUCCAUCUCUUCUCCUCUUCCCAGAUCAGUAGCUUUUGUAUUUUGCUCAUCAUUGGCUUUGAAGUUAAGCGAACAUUGGUUUGAAAUCCAGCUUUACUAUUUUCAUAAUUGUGUUAUCUCAGCAAGUUAUCUUUUUCCUCUUUCUUUCUUUCUUUCUUUCUUUCUUUCUUUCUUUUCUUUCUUUCUUUCUUAACAGUACCAUUCCCUAGGAAUUGAACCCAGGGCCUUUGCAAUAAGCUACAUCCCCAGCCCUUUUAAAAUUGUUUCUUUGCAUUUUAUUUUGAGACAGUCUCACGAAGUUGCCCAGGCUGGCCUCAAACUUGAGAUCCUCCUGGCUCAGGCUCUCAAGUAGUUGAGGUAAAAGGUGUGUGCCACCAUGUCUGGCUCAAAUUUUUAAAGUUUUGUUUUGUUUUUAGUCUUCUGAACCCAAGAUUUUUCUUCAAUAAAACAAGGAUACUAUCAUUCGGGAAGAUUAAAUAAGAAUCAACAAGGGGUAGGGGUGUAGCUCAGUGGUAGGUUGCUGGCCUAGCAUGUGUGAGGUCCUGGGCCCAAUCCCCAGCAUCACACACACACACUCCCAGUGAGGAGGAGAAUAGCAACGUGGAUCACCUCUCACUGUGCCCAUAAAACAGUAAAACUCAGGCAGUUGCGUCCCUUUUCCCUAAGUGAGUGACAAACCCGGCGACCCGGGUCGGCCUAACGGGAGGUUUCUUUGGGGUUUCCCUCAACUGCCACUAGGGGGCAGCACAGAACCGCAAAUCUCAGCCCCUUGUGGGGAGGGACUCCGGCCGGCAGUGGUUGGGGUCGGGGUAUCUCAGGGCGAACCCGACGAUCAAGUACAGUUUGAGAGGCCGCUCCGUGUCCUGAAGCCCACAGCACAGGGUGCAGCAGGUCGGGGCGGGGUGGCCCACGCCUGUGGUCCCGGGGGGCUGAGCCCGGGCAACUCACCGAAACCCUGCGGGGAGGCAGGAGGGAAGAGCGACGGAGCGCGGCCCGAGCCCGCUCAGCUGCCCGGAGUGAAGGCGGGGGCGGCCCCACCCUGCGUGACUCCGGACCCCACAUGCGGACUGAGG